CCUCUUAUCUGCCUGCCAGCAAGACCCAGACACGGCCUGUCAAGGCAGAUUUGCCUGACAGAUGGUGAAAUCUUUCUGAGCUUCCAAAAUCUUAACUUAUUUUGGAUCCAUAUCCUUAUGAAGCCCCUAAAGCACUGAAAAACACUGCACAAACUCAAGACUGUGUUUCUGGUCAAUCAUUUGAGCUUGCAGAGCAGCAUUCCCUUGACCCUUGGGGAUAUCUACAGCUUGGUAUUUCUCCAUCCUCCAAAAAAGACAGGAAAAUAUUUAGUGAAGAAAAAAGCACAACAGAGGACACGACCUGCUCACAAACUGACCGCAAUUACACAAAAUGGCUGUGUUCGCUUCAUCUUCAUAAUUUCCAAUGAAGUUGUAAUUCCCAGUUGAGUAAGUGUCGGCAUCAACAAGGCUGAGAGGAAAUGGACAACGCCUUGUGCUAUUUAAAGACCAAAGUAUUCCAGGUCCAUUUUCAAAAUGUGCCUUCUUUACCAUGCCAAGCGUUUACCAAAAGUCCCUGGAGCAACCACCUGAUACCACACCAUGCCAGCCCUUCCGCUAAAAUGAGACAAACACCAGUACAUGUUGCACUGGUGCAUUUAAGAUCAAAUAUGCACAUGCUGAAUCGGCU
This is a long non-coding RNA of Ictalurus punctatus (channel catfish), 628 nucleotides long. The record is from Ensembl. NCBI's taxonomy places the organism in Eukaryota, Metazoa, Chordata, Actinopteri, Siluriformes, Ictaluridae.